AGGAGCGAAAGCAUGGUAGCGAACAGGAUUAGAUACCCUGGUAGUCCAUGCCGUAAACGGUGGGCGCUAGGUGUGGGGUUCCUUCCACGGGCUCCGCGCCGUAGCUAACGCAUUAAGCGCCCCGCCUGGGGAGUACGGCCGCAAGGCUAAAACUCAAAGAAAUUGACGGGGGCCCGCACAAGCGGCGGAGCAUGUGGAUUAAUUCGAUGCAACGCGAAGAACCUUACCUGGGCUUGACAUAUAGAGGAUCGCUACAGAGAUGUGGUUUCCCUUGUGGCUUCUAUACAGGUGGUGCAUGGUUGUCGUCAGCUCGUGUCGUGAGAUGUUGGGUUAAGUCCCGCAACGAGCGCAACCCUUGUCUUAUGUUGCCAGCACGUUAUGGUGGGGACUCGUGAGAGACUGCCGGGGUCAACUCGGAGGAAGGUGGGGAUGACGUCAAAUCAUCAUGCCCCUUAUGUCCAGGGCUUCACACAUGCUACAAUGGCCGGUACAGAGGGCUGCGAUGCCGUGAGGCGGAGCGAAUCUCUUAAAGCCGGUCUCAGUUCGGAUUGGGGUCUGCAACUCGACCCCAUGAAGUCGGAGUCGCUAGUAAUCGCAGAUCAGCAACGCUGCGGUGAAUACGUUCCCGGGCCUUGUGCACACCGCCCGUCACGUCAUGAAAGUCGGUAACACCCGAAGCCGGUGGCCUAACCCUUGUGGAGGGAGCCGUUGAAGGUGGGAUUGGCGAUUGGGACGAAGUCGUAACAAGGUAGCCGUACCGGAAGGUGCGGCUGGAUCACCUCCUU
RNAcentral lists this ribosomal RNA (785 nucleotides) under uncultured bacterium. Its description in RNAcentral is "bacterial SSU rRNA". It matches the Rfam family "Bacterial small subunit ribosomal RNA", at positions 749 to 1532 of the family's 1533-position model. The record is from RNAcentral.